This 118-nucleotide small RNA is filed under the name uncultured Ewingella sp. RNAcentral describes it as "Enterobacteria greA leader". It matches the Rfam family "Enterobacteria greA leader". Lineage: Bacteria; Pseudomonadati; Pseudomonadota; Gammaproteobacteria; Enterobacterales; Yersiniaceae. The record is from RNAcentral.
ACUGGGGUGCAACGAGGGCGAAAGUAAACGAUGACCCUUAAGGAACUCUACGUUAAAAUACGGUUCAUAAUGCAAAACCAAUCCUGGCCUGGGUCCUGGACUCCGGGUGAGGUUUUUU